RNAcentral lists this ribosomal RNA (459 nucleotides) under uncultured bacterium. Its description in RNAcentral is "partial 16S ribosomal RNA". It matches the Rfam family "Bacterial small subunit ribosomal RNA", at positions 338 to 795 of the family's 1533-position model. The record is from RNAcentral.
CCUACGGGUGGCAGCAGUGAGGAAUAUUGGUCAAUGGGCGUAAGCCUGAACCAGCCAAGUCGCGUGAGGGAUGAAGGUUCUAUGGAUCGUAAACCUCUUUUAUAAGGGAAUAAAGUGCGGGACGUGUCCCGUUUUGUAUGUACCUUAUGAAUAAGGAUCGGCUAACUCCGUGCCAGCAGCCGCGGUAAUACGGAGGAUGCGAGCGUUAUCCGGAUUUAUUGGGUUUAAAGGGUGCGUAGGCGGGCUGUUAAGUCAGCGGUCAAAUGUCGGGGCUCAACCCCGGCCUGCCGUUGAAACUGGCGGCCUCGAGUGGGCGAGAAGUAUGCGGAAUGCGUGGUGUAGCGGUGAAAUGCAUAGAUAUCACGCAGAACUCCGAUUGCGAAGGCAGCAUACCGGCGCCCUACUGACGCUGAGGCACGAAAGCGUGGGUAUCGAACAGGAUUAGAUACCCCUGUAGUC